Molecule: long non-coding RNA, 861 nt
Organism: Acanthopagrus latus (yellowfin seabream)
Lineage: Eukaryota; Metazoa; Chordata; Actinopteri; Spariformes; Sparidae
Exons: 2
Source: RefSeq, a predicted model, not a curated record
CUUAAGUAGAGGUGGAGUAUGGCACACCUGGACAGACAGAAGUGCAAACCUCAUUUUAGCAGAUUGUGGGGGUCACUUAUUCUUGGGGAGCCAUGGCUCCAGCAAAACAUUUUUCAUGUUGGAUCUGUUUUGAUGAUUGAUCGCCUGGAAAAACAUCGGCACUGACGCCAUCAGCACCUCUCUGGAAAGUUGAGAUUUUCAAUCAAAGCGCCGCACAGAAAGCAAGGAGCACUCUGAAACAAGACGCCAGGAGCGCUGCUUCUCUCUCCAGGCGGCCACAUUCGCUGCCUCCUCAUUAGAAAUUGCUGAAAAAAAAGAUGCUCAUUAAAAAAAAAAAAAAAAAACGACGCCUUGGACGUAAGCCCUGGUACAUGAUUUGGAUUCUGAGGGCGACGAGAUGAGAAGGUUGAAAAGCAACAUGUGAACUGCACAAGUUUUCCCAAAGAUUGUUUAAUCUGAAAGAUGCACUGAUCACAUGAAUAUUCUUAGUGUAGUUUCAUAAGCCUUGAAUUUCACUGUGAGCGCCGUCACUGUGACAUGUGAUUAAAGAGAUCUGAGAUAAAACACCUUCCCUCACCCGGAGCAGUUCGUGCAGAUUAUGCAAAAACACUCAGCUCGACAAAAAAAAUGAGAAGAGCUGCAAUUACAUGUUAUUUUACAAUCGUGUUGUUGUUAUUGUUAUUGUUAUUUUGGAAGCAGAAUGAGGAAACUGAAAUCAAAUCCUACGUUUGCAUCAGUGAAAACAAACAAAAAUAAAAAACAGAGUCUCCUCUUCGUCUGCACAGCAAACUUCCUCCAUUAUGCAAAUAUGUUUCACACUGUUAACUGCUGAUUAAGAUUUCAUUAAACAAACAUGAACAC